Long non-coding RNA from Phyllopteryx taeniolatus (common seadragon), 871 nucleotides. RefSeq lists it as uncharacterized. The transcript is spliced from 3 exons. The record is from RefSeq and is a predicted model, not a curated record. Lineage: Eukaryota; Metazoa; Chordata; Actinopteri; Syngnathiformes; Syngnathidae.
UUUUGAUGUAGACAGAGAGCCGCUUUUUGUGCGUGCGCGGCCCGACUGCGCACCUGUCUGCCUCCAGGCCGCGCAGUCGACUGCAGCCUCGCAUUUCUGGCUGGCGUUGGUGUGCUAACGCAUUAGCGGGCUUGUAGUGGCGCCUUAAUGAAGGCUUCUGACCGGCUGCCUGACGCGCAUGACGGGGUCAGAGGUGUCGAGCUGCUCGCGCUGACAUCACCACGGACACAAGACUGGAAAAGGGGUCGAUGUGGAAGCAGAAAAAUCCCCAAAAGACGAGUGAAAGUGCUGCUGGCAAUGCAGGCCCCCCCCGCUCGAGCGGCGUCUGGGCCGGACCGCCACAUCAUACGGCGACAGUGACGUGAUUGAUACCCGAACGCGCACGCGCACCCGCCGAGUGCGUCAAGAUGUCUCCCGUACGACAACCCCCCCCCAGCGGCUCCUCGUCAUCUGGCUGACGUUCUCUUGCAAGUAGAGAGCUGCCGAGAGGUCUUUGUUGGCUGCCGCAAUACUUCAAAAGGCCGUCGCCUCUCUUCACGUUUCAUCCUGAUAAACGUCCGUCUCGUUCACCUCCGUCGUCUCGAAAAGGCAAAAUACGCCUCGGUGACCGCGUCGCCUUCGACGCGACUCAAACAGCUAGUAAGGUCACACUGAAGGGAAAAAUAUUUGGAUGUAAAAAAGUUGCCAAAACUUUUUUUCUAUAAACAUAAUUUUUUUGGACGAAUAUCAUUUAUUUAAAAAAAAAAAAGUUGUACUUUUUAAAGAAAAAACAUUUUAUUUGUUAAAUGAAUAUAUUUUGUUCUAUUUCUGGAGGGGAAAAGUUGUAUCUUUUGAGAAAAAAAGUGAUUUAUUUUCAUGAAAAAAACGUAGA